RNAcentral lists this ribosomal RNA (383 nucleotides) under bacterium E-3-48-2A. RNAcentral's name for it is "bacterial SSU rRNA". It matches the Rfam family "Bacterial small subunit ribosomal RNA", at positions 581 to 963 of the family's 1533-position model. The record is from RNAcentral.
CGGAAAGAAAGAUGUGAAAUCCCAGGGCUCAACCUAGAGAACUGCAUACUCAACUGCCGAGCUAGAGUAUGUCAGAGGGGGGUAGAAUUCCACGUGUAGCAGUGAAAUGCGUAGAUAUGUGGAGGAAUACCGAUGGCGAAGGCAGCCCCCUGGGAUAAUACUGACGCUCAGACACGAAAGCGUGGGGAGCAAACAGGAUUAGAUACCCUGGUAGUCCACGCCCUAAACGAUGUCAACUAGCUGUUGGGGCCGUUAGGCCUUAGUAGCGCAGCUAACGCGUGAAGUCGACCGCCUGGGGAGUACAGUCGCAAGAUGAAAACUCAAAGGAAUUGACUGGGACCCGCACAAGCGGUGGAUGAUGUGGAUUAAUGCGAUGCAACGCG